This 31-nucleotide non-coding RNA is filed under the name Rattus norvegicus (Norway rat). Lineage: Eukaryota; Metazoa; Chordata; Mammalia; Rodentia; Muridae. The record is from RNAcentral.
UNGUCAACAGAAGCUACUAAGUGAAAGGGCA